This is a long non-coding RNA of Hypanus sabinus (Atlantic stingray), 788 nucleotides long. RefSeq lists it as uncharacterized. NCBI's taxonomy places the organism in Eukaryota, Metazoa, Chordata, Chondrichthyes, Myliobatiformes, Dasyatidae. The transcript is spliced from 3 exons. The record is from RefSeq and is a predicted model, not a curated record.
UGAUCGUAUAAGGAAAUGCAGGCUGCUCAUGCUUUUCUCUGUUCCAUUUAGGAUAAUUACCUGAGCUAUUCUAACAGAUGUUACAAGAAUCACAGCAUUGGAAAAACUCCUUGGUAGUCACAUGCACCAUUGGUCAACACCACUGAGACAAAAGGGUCGAGUUGCGAGCUCAACACUCACCUGGCAUGGAUGGAAAGAGUGCUCGGGAACGGCCCGACUGGAUUCGAACCCGGGAACCUCCGUUCCAGAGUCCAGCGCUGAUGCCGCUGCGCCACCAGCCAACCUUAUAAUGUUAGCAAACUGUACUAAUAUAGAUCGAUAUUCACCUGAACCAGUUUAAGAAGGUGCUGCCGAAUCUCAAUGAUUUGUAGCUGGUGGCCAAUGAAACAAAGAAAACAACUAAAUACUUGGGUAAUCACUUUUUUCCUGGCAAAUGGUUGUCGAAAACAGUAGCAUGUACAUACAAAUGUCAUUCCUACAAGGAGUUAUCAUUUCUUCAGUAUAAGUUCUUAGUUCGAUAUCUGCAGGCUUCAGUUCAGUAUCUUUGAACUGCCAUUCAAACUCAUUUUGUAGAAUGACUGGAAUAGAUGAACCAGUGUCCAAUUCCACCUUAAUUAUUUUGCUGUUUAGAAGUCAAUGGCAAAUUGCUUGUCUAUUGUUAGUUUUCACUUUGUAAGUCUUCAGGCUACCUAGUCUGUGUUAUUCUCUUCACAUAUGUGGGUUAGUGCUCUUUUUGAACUAGACUUUGUAUCUUCCUUUUCUUCCCUGUGCAGCCAAUUUAUUUUUGU